UACGUAGGGUGCAAGCGUUGUCCGGAAUUAUUGGGCGUAAAGAGCUCGUAGGCGGUUCGAUAAGUCGGAUGUGAAAUCUCCACGCUCAACGUGGAGGGGCCAUUCGAUACUGUCGUGACUCGAGUCCGGUAGGGGAGUGUGGAAUUCCCGGUGUAGCGGUGAAAUGCGCAGAGAUCGGGAGGAACACCCGUAGCGAAGGCGGCGCUCUGGGCCGGUACUGACGCUGAGGAGCGAAAGCGUGGGGAGCAAACAGG
RNAcentral lists this ribosomal RNA (254 nucleotides) under uncultured bacterium. RNAcentral describes it as "partial 16S ribosomal RNA". It matches the Rfam family "Bacterial small subunit ribosomal RNA", at positions 524 to 776 of the family's 1533-position model. The record is from RNAcentral.